Molecule: long non-coding RNA, 181 nt
Organism: Sinocyclocheilus rhinocerous
Lineage: Eukaryota; Metazoa; Chordata; Actinopteri; Cypriniformes; Cyprinidae
Exons: 3
Source: RefSeq, a predicted model, not a curated record
UGUAUGUAAAGACGGGUGUUCCUUUCCUGCUGGACGAGUCGGACACGCUGCUCGCUUAUGAGGAGAAAGCCAAAGCUGAAGCACUGACGAGUGAAGAGCUGCUGAUGUCCUGCAUCACCUCACUGAACCACGUGCAGCAGCUCGAGAUCAUUCACCGUAAGAGUUCAAUGACUAGAAACAC